Non-coding RNA from Meleagris gallopavo (turkey), 250 nucleotides. Lineage: Eukaryota; Metazoa; Chordata; Aves; Galliformes; Phasianidae. The record is from RefSeq and is a predicted model, not a curated record.
GGAGUGGAUGAGGCCGGCGGCGAAACUCUCCUGGGGUUGUUCAUUUACGAUGUGGACGGAGAGAUCGCCCAGACCUUCCACCUGCAGGAGGAGCCCCGCAAAGCCUUCGGCCGUGUCAAACUGGAGGUGUGGAGCAACUGGGGAAACGCAGAACACACCUGCGUGUACCGAGUGGAAAUUCACAGCAACUCGUAAAAGACAGCAGAGAUUUGUUAGAAGGAAUACUUAAAAUAAAAUCUUUAUGACUUUC